This is a small nucleolar RNA of Rhincodon typus (whale shark), 161 nucleotides long. Lineage: Eukaryota; Metazoa; Chordata; Chondrichthyes; Orectolobiformes; Rhincodontidae. The record is from RefSeq and is a predicted model, not a curated record.
ACUGCACAUUAUUAAAACCUGGGAGCUGGGGCCAGUAUCUUGGUCAGUGAACUCUCAAGUGUCGGAAAUGUGCUACAAUAAAUCUGGCAGGUUUUUCGCUAACACCACAAGGGUCCAUGUGACUCGAUGAGUGGGGUUUGAUAGUAAUCCUUGUCACAAUU